UGGGGAAUUUUGGACAAUAGGCGAAAGCCUGAUCCAGCAAUGCCGCGUGUGUGAAGAAGGCCUUCGGGUUGUAAAGCACUUUUGUCCGGAAAGAAAUCCUUGGCUCUAAUACAGUCGGGGGAUGACGGUACCGGAAGAAUAAGCACCGGCUAACUACGUGCCAGCAGCCGCGGUAAUACGUAGGGUGCAAGCGUUAAUCGGAAUUACUGGGCGUAAAGCGUGCGCAGGCGGUUUGCUAAGACCGAUGUGAAAUCCCCGGGCUCAACCUGGGAACUGCAUUGGUGACUGGCAGGCUAGAGUAUGGCAGAGGGGGGUAGAAUUCCACGUGUAGCAGUGAAAUGCGUAGAGAUGUGGAGGAAUACCGAUGGCGAAGGCAGCCCCCUGGGCCAAUACUGACGCUCAUGCACGAAAGCGUGGGGAGCAAACAGGAUUAGAUACCCUGGUAGUCCACGCCCUAAACGAUGUCAACUAGUUGUUGGGGAUUCAUUUCCUUAGUAACGUAGCUAACGCGUGAAGUUGACCGCCUGGGGGGUACGGUCGCAAGAUUAAAACUCAAAUGAAUUGACGGGGU
Molecule: ribosomal RNA, 571 nt
Filed under: uncultured bacterium
Lineage: Bacteria
Description: partial 16S ribosomal RNA
Rfam family: Bacterial small subunit ribosomal RNA
Source: RNAcentral